UUAAUAAUUUAGGAGAAAAUGAACGAAGACGUUGAUGUGCAGAUUGAGUUCAAAAUUCAAACAAAGAGACCCAAAUCGCCAGGCGACUUCUUCUUCUUCCUCGUUUUCACAGCCCCGGAUUUUGUCGCCGGUUCCGAUUCUAGGGUUUCUGUCCCGGCGAAUGCUGCUGCUGUUCCUCCGAUGAAUCGGCCGCACUACAACCAUCUUCAAUCCAACUCCAUUUCUAACUGCCACGAAUGCGGGAUUUCUCAGUCCGUAUGCUGGAUCCUCCACAAUGUCCGUUUCAAAGCUUCCUUCCGUCGUCUCUGCACCAAUUGCGUCCUUAAGAACAAUCUUUCCCGUUUCUGUCCUCUUUGCUUCGAUAUUUACGACGAUUCGACUCCGCCGUCGUCUCAUCAGCGAGUUAUGUGCUUCAGAUGCCCUUCAAUAUCUCAUGUCUCUUGUGCUUCCUUUCGUUUUUCUUCUACGUUCCUCUGCCCUGUCUGCUCCGAUCCUUGCUUUGCCUUCUUCGACGGUUUCGACUCCGACGGCCUUCGCCAAUCGGAGCCCGCCGUUGCCGUUUUGGCCGGUAGAGAUGGUAAAUCGGCGAAGGCGAUUGUCGCUGCGGCUCGUGUCGCCGCUCAAUCCAUGCGAAGAGCGGCGGCUGACGCUAGGGCUGUAGCGGAGAUGAAGAUCAGGAAUGCUGUGUUCGCUAAGAAGCAGGCUACUCUCGCCUUGGAACGGCUUGCUUUUCUUGUACUUCAGGAGAAAGACAGAAAUGGAUAUGCUAAAACUAAUGGAAAUGCUGCUGCUGGUGCGGUGGAAGAAGAAGAAGAAACCGAGCUACAAGGUGAAGUGGUAACAGCCAUUCUUGAGCGUAUGAAGGCGAAUCACACUCAGUUUUGACGAGGGUAGCUGAUUAAGGAAACUGUAGAGUAAUCUUCUUCGACUCGCAUUCAAUCGAGUACCUCCAAGAUUCAGUUGAAUCAGGGCGCAGAGCUCUCUCUUCUAUCGGCCAUUUUUAUCAGAAUCUCAUAGCUUUAGAGGUGUGGAAGCCAUUGUUGCCGCCUUCAAGCUACAAGAAUCGCCACUGCGGAGCCACGGUCAACAUUUGAUAUUCAAAUACCAGUGGCGGCGGAACGGUGGCCAUAUCAAGACGCCGGCGGCGAUAGAUAGUGCUGAUUUCAACUAACAAAGUAUGGAUCUGCGGUGAAUUUUCUGAGAUACCAUCAUUUCGUUUCGUUUGAUUCAGAUUAUAGACCGAGUCUGCUCGAUUCAACUCGCUUCCAGUUAACCGAGUUGACUCAGUGAAUUUCCCCGUCCAUUAAUAAUUUUUCUGAGUUCGAAAAAAAAAACUCUUCUUUUUCCUUGCAACUAAUAAAGAACGUUACUUUUGAGAAUAAUAUCUAUAAUUAAUUAAUGGGGUUUCGGGUUUCCCCCCUUUAUUUCCUUCCCACGAAAAAAAAAAAAA
Cucurbita moschata (crookneck pumpkin) is the source of this 1450-nucleotide RNA transcript. RefSeq lists it as uncharacterized. Lineage: Eukaryota; Viridiplantae; Streptophyta; Magnoliopsida; Cucurbitales; Cucurbitaceae. The record is from RefSeq and is a predicted model, not a curated record. The transcript is spliced from 2 exons.